Molecule: ribosomal RNA, 186 nt
Filed under: uncultured haloarchaeon
Lineage: Archaea; Methanobacteriati; Methanobacteriota; Halobacteria; Halobacteriales; Halobacteriaceae
Description: partial 16S ribosomal RNA
Rfam family: Archaeal small subunit ribosomal RNA (bases 1-167)
Source: RNAcentral
CGGGCUACAAUGGUCAGGACAAUGGGUUCCUACCUCGAAAGAGGAUGGUAAUCUCCGAAACCUGGUCGUAAUUCGGAUUGAGGGUUGAAACUCACCCUCAUGAAGCUGGAUUCGGUAGUAAUCGCGUCUCAGAAGGGCGCGGUGAAUACCUCCCUGCUCCUUGGACAACGUCCUUAGUCCGGCAAC